GGCGCAAUGGGUAGCGGCUGCGUCAUCCUGGGCUUGGCAAGCAGGGGGUGAGGGGUUCGAGUCCCCUGGGCUCCA
This 75-nucleotide transfer RNA is filed under the name Nocardioides marinus. RNAcentral's name for it is "tRNA-Ala". The record is from RNAcentral. Lineage: Bacteria; Bacillati; Actinomycetota; Actinomycetes; Propionibacteriales; Nocardioidaceae.